This is an unclassified non-coding RNA of Cricetulus griseus (Chinese hamster), 297 nucleotides long. Its record names the gene 7SK. It matches the Rfam family "7SK RNA". From Rfam's summary of the family: 7SK was discovered as an abundant small nuclear RNA in the mid-70s but a possible function has only recently been suggested. Two independent studies have found that 7SK RNA binds the CDK9/cyclin T complex (known as elongation factor P-TEFb). P-TEFb activates transcription by phosphorylating the C-terminal domain of RNA polymerase II. NCBI's taxonomy places the organism in Eukaryota, Metazoa, Chordata, Mammalia, Rodentia, Cricetidae. The record is from Ensembl.
GUGAAAGGAGGGGAACAAGUAUCUCUCAGAAUAUCUUCAUUCCUGCCAAGAUGGUUAUAGCUCCUCCUUCACCACUACAUGAACAUCAUUCCCAAAGUUUGUGCUCCAUCAAAGAGAACAACCUUCUCCAAUAGAGACAACAUUCUUCAGUGGAAGGUAUAUGAACAGCUGUAAUACUAUGCCAGACAGAACCGCCAAAACAUGAUCUCAAUGUCCUUCUGCAAUAACAUAGAGUAGCCAAGCUUCCCAGACUCUAGACACAUAUAAAUCAGAUAUUGCAUGUAGCAAUCUAUAUUU